This 253-nucleotide ribosomal RNA is filed under the name uncultured bacterium. RNAcentral's name for it is "partial 16S ribosomal RNA". It matches the Rfam family "Bacterial small subunit ribosomal RNA", at positions 334 to 603 of the family's 1533-position model. The record is from RNAcentral.
UUGUCCUACGGGGGGCAGCAGUGGGGAAAAUUGCACAAUGGGGGAAACCCUGAUGCAGCGACGCCGCGUGAGUGAAGAAGUAUUUCGGUAUGUAAAGCUCUAUCAGCAGGGAAGAAAAAAGACGGUACCUGACUAAGAAGCCCCGGCUAACUACGUGCCAGCAGCCGCGGUAAUACGUAGGGGGCAAGCGUUAUCCGGAUUUACUGGGUGUAAAGGGAGCGUAGGCGGGCGAGCAUGUUGAAUGAUAAAUCUA